GACGAACGCUGGCGGCGUGCUUAACACAUGCAAGUCGAACGGGCCUUGUCCCCUUUUUUUUUGGGGGUGGGGUUAGUGGCGAACGGGUGAGUAACACGUGAGUAACCUGCCCCUCCCUUCUGGAUAACCGCUUGAAAGGGUGGCUAAUACGGGGUGUUCUGGCCUGCUCGCAUGGGUGGGUUUGGAAAGAUUCGACCGGUUUUGGUUGUUUUGGUGGGGGAUGGGCUCGCGGCCUAUCAGCUUGUUGGUGGGGUGAUGGCCUGCCAAGGCUGUGACGGGUAGCCGGCCUGAGAGGGUGGGCGGUCACACUGGGACUGAGACACGGCCCAGACUCCUACGGGAGGCAGCAGUGGGGAAUAGUGCACAAUGGGCGCAAGCCUGAUGCAGCGACGCCGCGUGAGGGAUGGAGGCCUUCGGGUUGUGAACCUCUUUCGCCAGUGAAGAAGGUCCUGCUCUUUGUGGUGGGGUUGACGGUAGCUGGGUUAAUGAAGCGCCGGCUAACUACGUG
RNAcentral lists this ribosomal RNA (508 nucleotides) under uncultured bacterium. Its description in RNAcentral is "partial 16S ribosomal RNA". It matches the Rfam family "Bacterial small subunit ribosomal RNA", at positions 28 to 507 of the family's 1533-position model. The record is from RNAcentral.